GGGUCUGUGGCGCAAUGGACAGCGUGACACGUUUCGAGCGUGAGGGUUGCGGGUUCGAGUCCUGCCAGACCUG
Molecule: transfer RNA, 73 nt
Filed under: Chloroflexi bacterium 54-19
Lineage: Bacteria; Bacillati; Chloroflexota; Chloroflexia; Candidatus Chloroheliales
Also listed under: 1 other name
Description: tRNA-Arg
Rfam family: tRNA
About the family: Transfer RNA (tRNA) molecules are approximately 80 nucleotides in length.
Source: RNAcentral